Molecule: long non-coding RNA, 520 nt
Organism: Globicephala melas (long-finned pilot whale)
Lineage: Eukaryota; Metazoa; Chordata; Mammalia; Artiodactyla; Delphinidae
Source: RefSeq, a predicted model, not a curated record
AGAGAAGUGUGCAGUGUGGUCUUUAUGGAGCAGGAAACCGGAUGGGAAGAGAACCCCCCGAGAUGCGGCGGUGCCAGGCUGGUGCAACACAAGCGAGGCCAGCGUACGACCUCCGAUGUGCGCAGAGUGACAGCAACACCAGUGUCCACCGCUGGGCAGUCUCCUGCGUGACCCUGAGAACCACUGCCGUCCACGCCAUCCUCCGGACCCGUCUGCAGGCCCCACAAGACAAAGGAAUGACAGUCAUCUGACGCGACUGCUCCUGGAGAACCCGUGCUGGGUCCUUGGGCCGCUGCUUCCUUCUCCCUCCGGCUGGUAAUCCAGAAGCAAUCUGUGAUCUGGGGCUGGACAGUGAGCACGUGCCCCCUCGUCCCUCAGAAACCCGGGGCCCAUCUGCUUGUCCCUGACCUGGAGGGGCCUGCCGGUGUCCUGUGAGUCCUCUUAGGGCAUGUCCCAGGUGGUAUUGCCGAGGGCUGUGACCUGCCCUGACCUGCCCCUCCUCCAAGCUUCCGGGCCCUCC